Molecule: ribosomal RNA, 2548 nt
Filed under: metagenome
Description: bacterial LSU rRNA
Rfam family: Bacterial large subunit ribosomal RNA
Source: RNAcentral
AGAGCGUAUGGUGGAUGCCUUGGCACUAAGAGCCGAUGAAAGACGUGAUAAGCUGCGAAAAGCUUCGGGGAGGAGCAAAUAUCCAUUGAUCCGGAGAUUUCUGAAUGGGGAAACCUACUUGAGCAAACCUCAAGUAUCCUAACGCCAAUCCAUAACGUUAGGAAGGGAACCCGGUGAACUGAAACAUCUAAGUAGCCGGAGGAAGAGAAAACAACAUGUGAUUCUGUGAGUAGCGGCGAGCGAAAGCGGAAGAGCCCAAACCGGAGUGCGUGCACUCCGGGGUUCGGACCGCAGAAUUGAUUCAAUAAGUCUAGCAGAAUGGUUUUGGGAAAGCCAGCCAGAGAGGGUGAAAGCCCCGUAAGCGAAAGACGAGUUGACAUGGCGGUAUCCAGAGUACCACGAGACACGAGAAACCUUGUGGGAAUGAGCGGGGACCACCCCGUAAGGCUAAAUACUUCUUAGUGACCGAUAGCGCAUAGUACUGUGAAGGAAAGGUGAAAAGGACCCCGGGAGGGGAGUGAAAGAGAACCUGAAACCAUAUGUUUACAAGCUGUGGAACAUCUUUAUAUGAUGAACCGCGUACUUUUUGUAGAACGGUCCGGCGAGUUACGCUGGCUGGCGAGGUUAAGCACUUCAAGGUGUGGAGCCGAAGGGAAACCAAGUCUGAAUAGGGCGUGAAGUCAGUCAGAGUAGACCCGAAACCGGGUGAUCUAUCCAUGUCCAGGUUGAAGUUGCCGUAAAAGGCAAUGGAGGACCGAACCCACAUCCGUUGAAAAGGGUGGGGAUGAGGUGUGGAUAGGGGAGAAAUUCCAAUCGAACCCGGAGAUAGCUGGUUCUCCUCGAAAUAGCUUUAGGGCUAGCCUCAUACGAGUCUUGCGGAGGUAGAGCACUGAAUUCUUAAGGGGGCGUCAAAGCUUACUAAGAGAUAUCAAACUCCGAAUGCCGCGUAGAUGAUGUAUGGGAGUCAGACUGCACGAGAUAAGUUGGGUAGUCAAAAGGGAAAGAGCCCAGACCUACAGCUAAGGUCCCAAAAUGUGUGUUAAGUGGAAAAGGAUGUGGGAUUUCGAAGACAACUAGGAUGUUGGCUCAGAAGCAGCCAUCCAUUAAAAGAGUGCGUAAUAGCUCACUAGUCGAGAGGUCCUGCGCCGAAAAUGUCCGGGGCUGAAACACACUACCGAAGCUUAGGAAUUAACGAAUGUUAAUUGGUAGAGGAGCAUUCUUAAAGAGACGAAGCUGUACCGAAAGGAGCAGUGGAUUUUUAAGAAGAGAGAAUGCCGGAAUGAGUAGCGAGAGGAAGGUGAGAAUCCUUCCGGCCGAAUAUCUAAGGUUUCCAGCGUAAAGCUGAUCUGCGCUGGGUAAGUCGGGGCCUAAGGCGAGGUCGAAAGACGUAGUCGAUGGAUAACAGGUUGAAAUUCCUGUACUAUGAUAUAACAGAACUGUGGGGACGCAGGGAGAGAGCGCGAGCCGGGAACGGAAAGCCCGGCGCAAGCGAGGUACCGGUCUGUCAGGAAAAUCCGGCAGACAACGGGAAGACGUGAUGCGGACCGAAAAAGAGUAGGGAAGAGCGUGAGCUAACUGCCAAGAAAAGCCGCUAUUGUUUAUAUCAUACCCGUACCGUAAACCGACACAGGUGGAUGAGGAGAGAAUCCUAAGGCCGACGGGAGAAGCAUUGUUAAGGAACUCGGCAAAAUGACUCCGUAACUUCGGGAGAAGGAGUGCCAUGCGAAUGGCCGCAGAGAAUUGGCCCAAGCAACUGUUUAGCAAAAACACAGGUCUAUGCAAAACCGAAAGGUGAGGUAUAUGGGCUGACGCCUGCCCGGUGCUGGAAGGUUAAGGGGAGAGGUUAGCGCAAGCGAAGCUUUGAACUUAAGCCCCAGUAAACGGCGGCCGUAACUAUAACGGUCCUAAGGUAGCGAAAUUCCUUGUCGGGUAAGUUCCGACCCGCACGAAAGGCGUAAUGAUUUGGGCACUGUCUCAACAAUGCACCCGGUGAAAUUGAAAUACCAGUGAAGAUGCUGGUUACCUGCGCCAGGACGGAAAGACCCCAUGGAGCUUUACUCCAGCUUGAUACUGGGAUUCGAUAUUGCAUGUACAGGAUAGGUGGGAGACUAGGAGACGGUAACGCCAGUUGCCGUGGAGUCGAUGUUGGGAUACCACCCUUGCAGUAUUGGGUUUCUAACCAGCAGCCGUGAUCCGGCUGGGGGACAAUGUCAGGUGGGGAGUUUGACUGGGGCGGUCGCCUCCGAAAGGGUAUCGGAGGCGCUCAAAGGUUCCCUCAGAAUGGUUGGAAACCAUUCGAAGAGUGCAAAGGCAGAAGGGAGCUUGACUGCGACACCGACGGGUGGAGCAGGUACGAAAGUAGGACUUAGUGAUCCGGUGGUAUAAAGUGGGAUUGCCAUCGCUCAACGGAUAAAAGCUACCCUGGGGAUAACAGGCUUAUCACUCCCAAGAGUUCACAUCGACGGAGUGGUUUGGCACCUCGAUGUCGGCUCAUCGCAUCCUGGGGCUGAAGUAGGUCCCAAGGGUUGGGCUGUUCGCCCAUUAAAGC